UGGGAAUUUGGACAAUGGGGCAACCUGAUCCAGCAAUGCCGCGUGUGUGAAGAAGGCCUUCGGGUUGUAAAGCACUUUUGUCCGGAAAGAAAACGUCGUGGUUAAUACCCGUGGCGGCUGACGGUACCGGAAGAAUAAGCACCGGCUAACUACGUGCCAGCAGCUGCGGUAAUACGUAGGGUGCAAGCGUUAAUCGGAAUUACUGGGCGUAAAGCGUGCGCAGGCGGUCCGCUAAGACAGAUGUGAAAUCCCCGGGCUUAACCUGGGAACUGCAUUUGUGACUGGCGGGCUAGAGUAUGGCAGAGGGGGGUAGAAUUCCACGUGUAGCAGUGAAAUGCGUAGAGAUGUGGAGGAAUACCGAUGGCGAAGGCAGCCCCCUGGGCCAAUACUGACGCUCAUGCACGAAAGCGUGGGGAGCAAACAGGAUUAGAUACCCUGGUAUCCACGCCCUAAACGAUGUCAACU
Molecule: ribosomal RNA, 465 nt
Filed under: uncultured bacterium
Lineage: Bacteria
Description: partial 16S ribosomal RNA
Rfam family: Bacterial small subunit ribosomal RNA
Source: RNAcentral